Non-coding RNA from Triticum aestivum (bread wheat), 144 nucleotides. Lineage: Eukaryota; Viridiplantae; Streptophyta; Magnoliopsida; Poales; Poaceae. The record is from Rfam.
CAAGUACUCCCUCCGUCCGGAAAGUCCGGAAAUACUUGUCAUCAAGAUAAAUAAAAGGGGAUAUAUCUAGAUGUAUUUUAGUUCUAGAUACACCCCUUUUUAUCCAUUUUGAUGACAAGUAUUUCCGGAAGGAGGGAGUACAUG